UUUAAAGCAUCACUUCCACCACAAUCAAAACCAAAUGCUGGCACUGCUUUACUUGUGUGACUGGAAUGUUUUCUGUGGGGGGGGCCUGUCCAGCACCAUUGUUCUCUUUCUCUGUGUUGAAUGUAAACAGACUCUAAAUGCCUAUUUGUGUAAAUGUCCUGCGCUUGGCUCCAAUGACCCCUGCAGCAGUAUUCUUUAACUCAUCUAUUCAGUCUCAUUGCCACUAUCAUGGUUGGAAGACUAACAGACACACACUUAGCCAAAAUGACAUCACUGGCCUUUUGUUGUUGCUUCAGGCAGUGUUCAUGUCUCAUGUGUUUGGGUGCUUUGUGUAUGCUCUUUGUGCAUUUACAGUAACAGGGUCUCAGUGGUAGGGGGAUUAGGCUCGCAUUGCCAGACCUUCUUCCACAGCGCUGCGGGGAAGGGUCUGGCUGCAUUCUGGGAUGGGAGAAAAACCUGCUGUGGUUAUCAGCAUUUCUUCAAACCAAUCCCUAUGUGCAUGGGCGGAGCUAAACCCCGGACGGAGCCACUGUGCUGCUGCAAAAUAGCAUCAGGAAGGAAGUGGUUUUGGUGCAACGUGUACGUUCAGAAGUAGUUUUAGUCGUCAACAGAAAACUCAGAUUGGACAGAUAGUCUAGCUAGCUUUAGAACGGCAACACUAAGAAAGCGGAAGGUGAAGGACACACGGCAGAAUUUUCGACGUCAACGGAGCAAUCCCGGUAGUGGAACGCUGUGGACAUAGACUCUAAGGGGGAUAAACCUAGACUUAAAUGAGUGGACAUUCUCUCAAUUGCUGUUUGAGACGUGUGGCCUGUUUGUGUGACGUGAAGCUGCUAUAUGAGCCUCUGGAGUCAAGCCAUCUGAAACCUCUCGCCCUAAAACUGACCCCGCUGUCGGGUGCAGAUUCCCAUGAGGAUAACUGAAUAUCAGCUUCAGGUUGAAUGGCUCCCUGAUGUUUCUCUAAUCCUAAAGCUUAGUGUUUAAUGAAUUGACCAAAAACACUGUUUCAAUGAACCAAAUGAGUCUUGCUGGUAAACAAA
Long non-coding RNA from Etheostoma cragini (Arkansas darter), 1040 nucleotides. RefSeq lists it as uncharacterized. The transcript has 2 exons. The record is from RefSeq and is a predicted model, not a curated record. NCBI's taxonomy places the organism in Eukaryota, Metazoa, Chordata, Actinopteri, Perciformes, Percidae.